Molecule: ribosomal RNA, 497 nt
Filed under: uncultured bacterium
Lineage: Bacteria
Description: partial 16S ribosomal RNA
Rfam family: Bacterial small subunit ribosomal RNA
Source: RNAcentral
GACGAACGCUGGCGGCGUGCCUAAUACAUGCAAGUAGAACGCUGAAGAGAGGAGCUUGCUCUUCUUGGCUGAGUUGCGAACGGGUGAGUAACGCGUAGGUAACCUGCCUUGUAGCGGGGGAUAACUAUUGGAAACGAUAGCUAAUACCGCAUAACAAUGGAUGACACAUGUCAUUUAUUUGAAAGGGGCAAUUGCUCCACUACAAGAUGGACCUGCGUUGUAUUAGCUAGUAGGUGAGGUAACGGCUCACCUAGGCGACGAUACAUAGCCGACCUGAGAGGGUGAUCGGCCACACUGGGACUGAGACACGGCCCAGACUCCUACGGGAGGCAGCAGUAGGGAAUCUUCGGCAAUGGGGGCAACCCUGACCGAGCAACGCCGCGUGAGUGAAGAAGGUUUUCGGAUCGUAAAGCUCUGUUGUAAGUCAAGAACGAGUGUGAGAGUGGAAAGUUUACACUGUGACGGUAGCUUACCAGAAAGGGACGGCUAACUACGUG